This 653-nucleotide ribosomal RNA is filed under the name Leontodon sp. HBV s.n. RNAcentral's name for it is "eukaryotic LSU rRNA". The stretch from base 266 to 421 matches the Rfam family "5.8S ribosomal RNA". The record is from RNAcentral. Lineage: Eukaryota; Viridiplantae; Streptophyta; Magnoliopsida; Asterales; Asteraceae.
AGGAUCAUUGUCGAAUCUGCAAGGCAGAACGACCUGUGAACAUGUAAAUACAACCCGGUGAUGGGGAUAUGGUCAUUGGUCCUUAUCCCCUUCCCCUCCCUGCAUGCGUGUGUGGAGCUCCGUUUGGGGUGCCAUGGAUGUCAUGUUGGGAUUUAACAAACCCCGGCACGGAAUGUGCCAAGGAAAACAAAAGUGAGAAGGACUCGUCUUGUCUUGCCCCGUUCGCGGUGUGCAAGCGGGUUGUGGCCUCUUUGUAAUUAAAAACGACUCUCGGCAACGGAUAUCUCGGCUCACGCAUCGAUGAAGAACGUAGCAAAAUGCGAUACUUGGUGUGAAUUGCAGAAUCCCGUGAACCAUCGAGUUUUUGAACGCAAGUUGCGCCCGAAGCCAUCCGGCCGAGGGCACGCCUGCCUGGGCGUCACGCUUCGCGUCGCCCCCCACCAUAUAAUACCCAACGGGUAGUCAUGGUGUUUGGGGCGGAGAUUGGCCUCCCGUACUUGUGAUGCGGUUGGCCUAAAAAUGAGUCCCCUUCAGCGGACGCACGACUAGUGGUGGUUGAACAGACCCUCGUCCUUAUCGUGUGUCGUGAGCUGCUAGGGAAGCCCUCACCAAAGACCCCAUUGCAUUGUUUUUUGGACGGUGCUUCGACCGCG